RNAcentral lists this transfer RNA (75 nucleotides) under Nitrososphaerales archaeon. Its description in RNAcentral is "tRNA-Gly". It matches the Rfam family "tRNA". From Rfam's summary of the family: Transfer RNA (tRNA) molecules are approximately 80 nucleotides in length. Their secondary structure includes four short double-helical elements and three loops (D, anti-codon, and T loops). Lineage: Archaea; Thermoproteati; Nitrososphaerota; Nitrososphaeria; Nitrososphaerales. The record is from RNAcentral.
GCGGAGUUGGUCUAGCCUGGUUAGGAUGUCAGCCCCCCAAGCUGAAGGUCGCGGGUUCAAAUCCCGCACUCCGCA